GCCCGGCUAGCUCAGUAGGUAGAGCAUGAGACUUUUAAUCUCAGGGUCGUGGGUUCAAGUCCCACGUUGGGCG
RNAcentral lists this transfer RNA (73 nucleotides) under Xiphophorus maculatus (southern platyfish). It matches the Rfam family "tRNA". From Rfam's summary of the family: Transfer RNA (tRNA) molecules are approximately 80 nucleotides in length. Their secondary structure includes four short double-helical elements and three loops (D, anti-codon, and T loops). Further hydrogen bonds mediate the characteristic L-shaped molecular structure. tRNAs have two regions of fundamental functional importance: the anti-codon, which is responsible for specific mRNA codon recognition, and the 3' end, to which the tRNAs corresponding amino acid is attached (by aminoacyl-tRNA synthetases). tRNAs cope with the degeneracy of the genetic code in two manners: having more than one tRNA (with a specific anti-codon) for a particular amino acid; and 'wobble' base-pairing, i.e. permitting non-standard base-pairing at the 3rd anti-codon position. The record is from Rfam by way of RNAcentral. Lineage: Eukaryota; Metazoa; Chordata; Actinopteri; Cyprinodontiformes; Poeciliidae.